GGUAUUUAUGAUCUAUAAGGAAAUCAAUUUUACCAUAGGCUAAUUGAUAAAAACAAGAGUUAGGUUCCUAUGGCAUCUCCUCAAGGUUAUACCAAA
Long non-coding RNA from Myotis brandtii (Brandt's bat), 96 nucleotides. RefSeq lists it as uncharacterized. The transcript has 3 exons. The record is from RefSeq and is a predicted model, not a curated record. Lineage: Eukaryota; Metazoa; Chordata; Mammalia; Chiroptera; Vespertilionidae.